Molecule: ribosomal RNA, 321 nt
Filed under: uncultured bacterium
Lineage: Bacteria
Description: bacterial SSU rRNA
Rfam family: Bacterial small subunit ribosomal RNA
Source: RNAcentral
AACGAACGCUGACGGCGUGCUUAACACAUGCAAGUCGCACGAGAAAGUCUACCUUCGGGUGGAUUAGUAAAGUGGCGCACGGGUGAGUAACGCGUGGAUAAUCUGCCUUCAAGUCGGGAAUAACAUUGCGAAAGCGAUGAUAAUACCGGAUAAGCUCACGAUUUGAUUGGUUGUGGGAAAAGAUGGCCUCUGUAUAUGCUAUCGCUUGAAGAUGAGUCCGCGUACCAUUAGCUUGUUGGUAGGGUAAUGGCCUACCAAGGCUUCGAUGGUUAGCUGGCCUGAGAGGGCGGCCAGCCACAUUGGAACUGAGACACGGUCCAG